AGUGAACGCUGGCGGUAGGCCUAACACAUGCAAGUCGAACGGCAGCACAGUAAGAGCUUGCUCUUACGGGUGGCGAGUGGCGGACGGGUGAGGAAUACAUCGGAAUCUACUUUUUCGUGGGGGAUAACGUAGGGAAACUUACGCUAAUACCGCAUACGACCUACGGGUGAAAGCAGGGGAUCUUCGGACCUUGCGCGAUUGAAUGAGCCGAUGUCGGAUUAGCUAGUUGGCGGGGUAAAGGCCCACCAAGGCGACGAUCCGUAGCUGGUCUGAGAGGAUGAUCAGCCACACUGGAACUGAGACACGGUCCAGACUCCUACGGGAGGCAGCAGUGGGGAAUAUUGGACAAUGGGCGCAAGCCUGAUCCAGCCAUACCGCGUGGGUGAAGAAGGCCUUCGGGUUGUAAAGCCCUUUUGUCGGGAAAGAAAAGCGGCAGGUUAAUACCCCGCUGUUCUGACGGUACCCAAAGAAUAAGCACCGGCUAACUUCGUG
RNAcentral lists this ribosomal RNA (492 nucleotides) under uncultured bacterium. Its description in RNAcentral is "partial 16S ribosomal RNA". It matches the Rfam family "Bacterial small subunit ribosomal RNA", at positions 29 to 507 of the family's 1533-position model. The record is from RNAcentral.